Molecule: small RNA, 3297 nt
Filed under: Pongo abelii (Sumatran orangutan)
Lineage: Eukaryota; Metazoa; Chordata; Mammalia; Primates; Hominidae
Description: retained intron
Source: RNAcentral
GGGUGAGAAAUUGGUUCCGAACUCAAAGGAACCCAGCACCGGGCCACAGCCGGUCACGUGGCCGGCGGCCCCCCAUGACGUGCUGGCUGCGGGGCGUCACCGCGACGUUCGGGCGACCUGCCGAGUGGCCAGGCUACCUCAGUCACCUGUGUGGUCGCAGUGCUGCCAUGGACCUGGGACCCAUGCGCAAGAGUUACCGCGGGGACCGAGAGGCAUUUGAGGAGACUCAUCUGACCUCCCUUGACCCAGUGAAACAGUUUGCUGCCUGGUUUGAGGAGGCUGUUCAGUGUCCUGACAUAGGGGAAGCCAAUGCCAUGUGUCUGGCUACCUGUACCAGAGAUGGAAAACCCUCUGCUCGCAUGUUGCUACUGAAGGGCUUUGGGAAAGAUGGCUUCCGCUUCUUCACUAACUUCGAGAGUCGAAAAGGAAAAGAGCUGGUGAGUGAAAAGAGCUAGUAAUCUUUCCCAGGGCCUGCAGGGUUUGGUUCUUGCCUCCUCAGUCACCUUCUCAUGCCACCCCACCCCCCAGUCUACUUGCUUUCUGUGUGCAGGUGCCCUCCUGCCAUGAGGCCUUGGCACUUGCUGUGCUCUUUGCUAUAAAUGAAUGAAUGCACUUUCUAACCAGCCUCACCCCAUCAGCCAUGACCUGUUCCUUCAGAUCUCAGCCCACAUGUUACCUCCUCAGGAAGGCCUUCCUUGACUCUGACUCAGACUCAGCCCCUCAUGCUGUUUGCUGCCAUUAUAACUUGCAACUUUCUUUUUUGUCUUUUUCUUCAGUUUGUAAUUGAGCAUUUAUUUGGGUGAUUAUGUAACUGAUAUUUGUCUCCUUUGCUCAACAGUAAGCUCUGUAGGAGUGGAAGCUGCUGUGUUUUAUCUCUGCUGUAUCCCCCGCAUGUCUCCUGUUGUCAGACCCAGACUGGGCACUUCACGUGCAUUCAAUGAAUGAAUCCAAAAUGAGUAAACCUCCCUGAGUCCAUGCCAGCCAAGCAUGCAUUUCUCAAGAUUCACAAAUCUGUGGGUGAGAGAAAUCACCCAGUCUCACUUUGGAGUCCGACUGGCUUAAACUUAGCUCCACCACUUCCUGCAGGAACUUGGGCAUGUGACUUAGCCUGUCUCCGUGUCUGUGACAAUAGGCCUACUUUUGAGGGUUUAAAUGAGCUCUUACGGUGGAUGCAUCUGCUGUGGGCCUGCACACUACAGCUCUCCUGCCUUUUCCCUGCAUGCCAGAGGCCUCCUCUCCCUGUCCUGAUGGCUGGCUGUGGAUUCUCUUUUACUUCUAGGACUCUAAUCCCUUUGCUUCCCUUGUCUUCUACUGGGAGCCGCUUAACCGUCAGGUGAGUGAAUUUUCCCAGGACAGCCGGGGAUGGGCUGGGUUGGCAGGGCCUGAGUUUAUGGCUAAGUCUAGUGAAGGUCCCCAGACUUGGCAAACAUCCCAGCUGGGCACUCUGCCUCUAAAAUAGCCCUCAGUUAGUUGGAGCCAAGAGUGGUGGUGCAGCCGAUCGAACAGAGAGGAACGGGGCCUGUGCUGGUAGGGAGAGCAGGUGGCAUUGAACGCCAUUCACCCAGAGCCAUCCCCGAGCAGGUGCGUGUGGAAGGCCCUGUGAAGAAGCUGCCCGAGGAGGAGGCUGAGUGCUACUUCCACUCCCGCCCCAAGAGCAGCCAGAUUGGGGCUGUGGUCAGCCACCAGAGUUCUGUGAUCCCUGAUCGGGAGGUGAGUGGGGCUCCGCUGUAGUCCUCCAGGUGGCAGAGGCUUUGGCUUUUACCCAGAAGCUGUCCCAAGGAGAUGCCAGGUUCCUCUCUCUCCAACCCAGUGAAAACAGUGAAAAGGACAGUGAGAAGGGAAAGUGGGGGUAGGGAGAGGGGAAAUAGGCCUCCUCUGUCCGUCUGGCCAUCCCGUUGACUGCUCCUGGAGGACAGAGGCCAGUCUGCUCUGCUCACCCAUGUCCCCAGCACAUAUCCCCAGGAAGUCCUUGUUAAUGAAUCAUUGACUGGGCCUGGCCCUUCUUCUAACUCCUUCCCCUGGACAGUAUCUGAGAAAGAAAAAUGAGGAACUGGAACAGCUCUACCAGGAUCAAGAGGUGCCCAAGCCAAAAUCCUGGGGUGGCUAUGUCCUGUACCCUCAGGUGAUGGAGUUCUGGCAAGGUCAAACCAACCGCCUGCAUGACCGGAUAGUCUUUCGGCGGGGCCUACCCACAGGAGAUUCCCCUUUGGGGUCCAUGACCCACCGCGGGGAGGAAGACUGGCUCUAUGAGAGACUUGCACCUUAACUCUGGGACCUGCCAGCCCAGAGUGGAGCUAGGGCUAGGUGUCAAGAGAGGGUGUGGGAUUGAGACCCAGGCCCUUCUUUCUAAAGUCAACCCAUUUCCCUCCCUACCCCUUAUAUUCAGGACUCUUCAGAGCUAAUCCUCUAAGUUCUCUGUACUCAGUUGGUUCUCAGUUAGCUGGUCAAGUGGAGUGUAAUGGUGGCAUAGAGAAUCACAAAUGGAAAAUAAUUCCAUAAUUAUUUUUUUGACCUUGCCUAUGAUUGAUUAGGAUAGCUCCCUCUAGGGGUAGCAGCCGGUGUGACUCCCUUUCUGGUGACAGAGAGGGCCCCAGCAGCCCUGUUUACCGUGUGAGUCAUACUGGCCAAAGUUUAGUCCCAGCAUAUGCACCUGAGCCAACCUGGCCAAUCAGAUUGUUUUGUCAAUAAUUUGAAAUUUGAACUGGAGAGAUCCAGAACCUUGGGAGUCAUUGAAGCCAAGUCAUUCAUAGCAGCCAGGAAACAAUAGGAACCAACAGCCUUUGCCUGCUGCUAUUGCAAUUCCCAGGAUCUCUCCUUCCCUGGAUCCCUCCCUCCCAGGUCUGGGCUGUGCAGUUCCUCUCCCUGCCUUGACACUCCCCACUAUCUCUGUAAAAUCUCUCUCUUUUUCUUUUUUUUCUUUUUUUUGACUUAAUCUAGCUAGAAUCUAUUUCAGUUGCUUACAACUUAACUCAUUUAUGGAUAGGACUUUUUUUUUCUUUUUUCUUUUUCUUUUCUUUUUUUUUUUUUUUUUGAGAUGGAGUCUCACUCUGUCGCCCAGGCUGGAGAGCAGUGGCGUGAUCUUGGCUCACUGCAACCUCUGCCUGCCAGGUUCAAGCAAUUCUCCUGCCUCAGCCUCCCAAGUAGCUGGGACUACAGGCACACGCCACCACGCCCAACUAAUUUUUGUAUUUUUAGUAGAGACGGGGUUUCACCCUGUUGGCCAGGAUGGUCUCCAUCUCUUGACCUUGUGAUCCACCCCCCUUGGCCUCCCAAAAUGCUGGGAUUACAGGCAUGAGC